AUUGAACGCUGGCGGCGUGCUUAACACAUGCAAGUCGAUCGGUAACGCGGGGGCAACCCUGGCGACGAGAGGCGGACGGGUGAGGAACGCUUGGGAAUCUGCCUAUCAGCGGGGGACAACACGGGGAAACUCGUGCUAAUACCGCAUACGCUCUACGGAGGAAAGCCGGGGACCGCAAGGCCUGGCACUGAUAGAUGAGCCCAAGUCGGAUUAGCUAGUUGGCGGGUAACGCCACAAGGCGAUGAUCAGUAGCUGGUCCGAGAGGAUGAUCAGCCACACUGGGACUGAGACACGGCCCAGACUCCUACGGGUGGCUG
Molecule: ribosomal RNA, 317 nt
Filed under: uncultured Pseudomonadota bacterium
Lineage: Bacteria; Pseudomonadati; Pseudomonadota
Description: bacterial SSU rRNA
Rfam family: Bacterial small subunit ribosomal RNA
Source: RNAcentral